Molecule: ribosomal RNA, 300 nt
Filed under: uncultured Helicobacter sp.
Lineage: Bacteria; Pseudomonadati; Campylobacterota; Epsilonproteobacteria; Campylobacterales; Helicobacteraceae
Description: bacterial SSU rRNA
Rfam family: Bacterial small subunit ribosomal RNA
Source: RNAcentral
GGAAAACGGCGGGGAGGUAGACGGCGGAAGACGUGGGGGGAAGGAGUUAGUCGGAAUCACUGGGCGUAAAGAGCAUGUAGGCGGAUUAAUAAGUUUGAAUUGAAAUCCUAGAGCUUAACUAUAGAACUGCUUUGAAAACUGUUAAUCUAGAAGGUGGGAGAGGUAGAUGGAAUUUCUGGUGUAGGGGUAAAAUCCGUAGAGAUCAGAAGGAAUACCGAUUGCGAAGGCGAUCUACUGGAACAUUAUUGACGCUGAGAUGCGAAAGCGUGGGGAGCAAACAGGAUUAGAUACCCUUGAGUC